GCUUUGCAGAACAGCUUAAUGUUGGCUGCAUCACAAAGGGCUUCUAAAAACAUUCAAAGUGAGUCUAAUAUCAUCCGGUAAAUAUUGACCAGCAAGUGUCCUCAGUGAGCAACGUUUGUAACUAAGUCCUCCACAUUUGGCUUCAACUCAUACGACGACUUCUCAUUGACCAAUAUGGAGAAAAACACAGGAUGGUUUAUGUUGGGGACAAAAGCGGAUGUCACACAGAAUGCUGCUGCUUCCACCACCACCACAACGACUGAAAAUGGGUCCUCCACAUUUAGCUACAACUUACCCGGGGUCUGCUCAUUCUCCGUUCCGAUCAUCAACAAAGAUUGCUCUACGUGUGGGAGAAAAGCGGAGGUCAAACACGAUUUUGUUGGUCCCAUCAUCACCACGGCUGAAAAUGGGUCCUCCAUAUAUCGCUUCAACGCAUACGGCUGCAACUUCUCAUGCACCGUCCCAAUCAAGAAGACACAAAACUUUGGUUUUGGGCAACCAGGGCCAUCCUUCAACCCAAACACCAGCAUCCCACUUCCUAAUUUGUUCAAGCCGAGAGAAUCCUCUGCGUUUGGGCCAAAAGGGGAUGUCACACAGAAUGCUGCUGCUCCCAUCAACUUCAAAGCGACUGAGAACGGGCCCUCCACAUUAGGCUUCGGCAGCAACCCACUUCCUAAUUUGUUCGGUCGGAGAGAACCCUCUGCGUUUGGGCCAAAAGCGGAUGUCACACAGAAUGCUGCUGCUCCCACCACCUUCACAAUGACUGCAAAUGGGCCAUCCACAUUAGGCUUCGGCAGCAAACCACAUCCUGAUGUGUUCAAGCAGAGAGAACAAGCGUUUGGGCCAAAAGCGGAUGUCACACAGAAUGCUGCUGCUCCCACCAACUUCACAAUGACUGCAAAUGGGCCAUCCACAUUAGGCUUCGGCAGCAACCCAUUCCCUAAUUUGUUCGGUCAGAGAGAUCCCUCUGCGUUUGGGCCAAAAGCGGAUGUCACACAGAAUGCUGCUGCUCCCACCAACUUCAGAGCGACUGAGAACGGGCCAUCCACAUUAGGCUUCAACUCAAACAGCAGGAUGACACUUGGCGAUUUCUUCAGGCAGGGAGAACCCUCUGCGUUUGGGCCAAAAGCGGAUGUCACACAGAAUGCUGCUGCUCCCACCAACUUCACAAUGACUGCAAAUGGGCCAUCCACAUUAGGCUUCAACUCAAACGGCAGCUUCCCACUUCCUGAUUUGUUCAGGCAGAGAGAACCCUCUGCGUUUGGGACAAAAGCGGAUGUCACACAGAAUGCUGCUGCUCCCACCUCCACCACAACGACUGAGAACGGGUUCUCCACAUUUGGCUUCAACCCAAAAAGCAGGCUCUCAUUUGUUGAUUCGAUGAAGGACAAAAAACCCUUUAUUUUUAUUAGAAAAGCGGAUGUCACACAGAAUGCUGCUGCUCCCACCACCACCACAACAACUGAGAAUGCUGACUCUAACUUCUCGUUGACGAACAUGUCUGGUGUUGCUGCAGCGUCUGCUUCCAAUAACAAGGAGGAGGGAUGUGACUCAGAAGAGAACAACGUGGACGUUCAGCCCAUAGUGUCCAUACCUGAGUCUGGGGAGGAUGGCGAGUAG
RNAcentral lists this long non-coding RNA (1620 nucleotides) under Gouania willdenowi (blunt-snouted clingfish). Its description in RNAcentral is "lncRNA (ENSGWIG00000012647.1)". Lineage: Eukaryota; Metazoa; Chordata; Actinopteri; Blenniiformes; Gobiesocidae. The record is from RNAcentral.